Molecule: ribosomal RNA, 406 nt
Filed under: uncultured bacterium
Lineage: Bacteria
Description: partial 16S ribosomal RNA
Rfam family: Bacterial small subunit ribosomal RNA
Source: RNAcentral
AUUGAACGCUGGCGGCAUGCUUUACACAUGCAAGUCGGACGAGUGGCGAACGGGUGAGUAACGCAUCGGAACGUACCGAGUAAUGGGGGAUAACUGUCCGAAAGGACAGCUAAUACCGCAUAUUAUUCGAGCGGCCGAUGUCUGAUUAGCGGGUUGGCGGGGGAAAGGCCCAACAAGGCGACGAUCAGGCGAGGGUCUGAGAGGAUGAUCCGCCACACUGGGACGGAGACACGGCCCAGACGCCUACGGGAGGCAGCAGUGGGGAAUAUGUCGCAAUGGGGGCAACCCUGACGCAGCCAUGCCGCGUGAAUGAAGAAGGCCUUCGGGUUGUAAAGUUCGUUCGGUAGCGAGGCGUUAACUACAGAAGAAGCACCGGCUAACUCCGUGCCAGCAGCCGCGGUAAUUC